Molecule: ribosomal RNA, 490 nt
Filed under: uncultured bacterium
Lineage: Bacteria
Description: partial 16S ribosomal RNA
Rfam family: Bacterial small subunit ribosomal RNA
Source: RNAcentral
AUUGAACGCUGGCGGCAUGCUUUACACAUGCAAGUCGGACGGCAGCACAGAGAAGCUUGCUUCUUGGGUGGCGAGUGGCGAACGGGUGAGUAAUAUAUCGGAACGUACCGAGUAAUGGGGGAUAACUAAUCGAAAGAUUAGCUAAUACCGCAUAUUCUCUGAGGAGGAAAGCAGGGGACCUUCGGGCCUUGCGUUAUUCGAGCGGCCGAUAUCUGAUUAGCUAGUUGGUGGGGUAAAGGCCUACCAAGGCGACGAUCAGUAGCGGGUCUGAGAGGAUGAUCCGCCACACUGGGACUGAGACACGGCCCAGACUCCUACGGGAGGCAGCAGUGGGGAAUUUUGGACAAUGGGCGCAAGCCUGAUCCAGCCAUGCCGCGUGUCUGAAGAAGGCCUUCGGGUUGUAAAGGACUUUUGUCAGGGAAGAAAAGGCUGUUGCUAAUACCGAUAGCUGAUGACGGUACCUGAAGAAUAAGCACCGGCUAACUACGUG